UAAGAAAUUAGUUAAUUUUUAUAACACUAGUUUGUCAUGCUAGAGUAGUCCUAAGGAUAUUUCUUAA
RNAcentral lists this transfer RNA (67 nucleotides) under Ovalipes punctatus. Its description in RNAcentral is "tRNA-Asp". The record is from RNAcentral. Lineage: Eukaryota; Metazoa; Arthropoda; Malacostraca; Decapoda; Ovalipidae.